RNAcentral lists this ribosomal RNA (466 nucleotides) under uncultured bacterium. Its description in RNAcentral is "bacterial SSU rRNA". It matches the Rfam family "Bacterial small subunit ribosomal RNA", at positions 338 to 795 of the family's 1533-position model. The record is from RNAcentral.
CCUANGGGGGGCAGCAGUCGAGAAUAAUUCACAAUGGGGGCAACCCUGAUGGUGCAACGCCGCGUGGAGGAUGACGGUCUUCGGAUUGUAAACUCCUGUCAUCCGGGAGUAAGACCUGGCGGUUAACAGCCGACAGGGUUGAUAGUACCGGAAGAGGAAGGGACGGCUAACUUCGUGCCAGCAGCCGCGGUAAUACGAAGGUCCCGAGCGUUGUUCGGAAUCACUGGGCGUAAAGGGAGCGUAGGCGGCGCGGUAAGUCAGAUGUGAAAUCCCGGGGCUCAACCCCGGAACUGCAUCCGAUACUGCCGCGCUUAGAGGAUUGGAGAGGUAGCUGGAAUUCUUGGUGUAGCAGUGAAAUGCGUGGAUAUCAAGAGGAACACUCGUGGCGAAAGCGAGCUACUGGACAACUCCUGACGCUGAGGCUCGAAGGCCAGGGUAGCGAAAGGGAUUAGAUACCCCGNUANUC